CAGGACGCUGGUUCUGGCUGUCACUUGGAUAGCUAUGUAGUUGGUGGGCAAGUGACUUGCCUUGGGGAAAAUGGCUUUGCCACUAAGAACAUAGGCCCUGGAAUUAGGCAUUUCUGGGCUUGAAUCCUAGUUCUACCCCAGGGAGAAGGCAAUGUUCUAGAUAGAAACUGCUUUAUUGGCCUGGGUUUCUUGGAGCGAAGAAACAUUGAGGAGCAGAUCCCCCAGCUGAUUCAGCAGACGUGCAGCAGAAGCCGACGGAAACCUCUGCUGUUUUAAGGCACUGAGAUUUUGGAGUUGUUUGCUAUCAUAGUGUAAUCUAUCAUCUCCUAACUGAUUCAAUGUGUUUAUCACAAUUAAUUGGUUUUUCUCAGUUUUAAUAACCAUAGAAAUACACAGCUGUCAUUCAGAGCCUCUAACAAGAAAGUGGUGUGACUCAUUAAACUGGUAGCACUCCUGCCAAAACCAAAGCAAUGUGAUCAUUCCAGUAGCAAUUGUUGCAAUAGAACCGUUUUAUUAUUUGUAAGAUAAAUGUAAUUUCUGCUAGGCUUUUUCAGCCUCUGGAUAUAUCUUAGAU
RNAcentral lists this long non-coding RNA (574 nucleotides) under Homo sapiens (human). RNAcentral describes it as "non-protein coding lnc-PLPP3-4:1". Lineage: Eukaryota; Metazoa; Chordata; Mammalia; Primates; Hominidae. The record is from RNAcentral.